UGAUGGCGACCGGCGCACGGGUGAGUAACACGUAUCCAACCUUCCGUUUACUCAGGGAUAGCCUUUCGAAAGAAAGAUUAAUACCUGAUAGUAUGGUGAGAUUGCAUGAUAGCACCAUUAAAGAUUUAUUGGUAAACGAUGGGGAUGCGUUCCAUUAGGUAGUAGGCGGGGUAACGGCCCACCUAGCCGACGAUGGAUAGGGGUUCUGAGAGGAAGGUCCCCCACAUUGGAACUGAGACACGGUCCAAACUCCUACGGGAGGCAGCAGUGAGGAAUAUUGGUCAAUGGGCGAGAGCCUGAACCAGCCAAGUAGCGUGAAGGAUGAAGGUCCUACGGAUUGUAAACUUCUUUUAUACGGGAAUAAAGUAUCCUACGUGUAGGAUUUUGUAUGUACCGUAUGAAUAAGCAUCGGCUAACUCCGUGCCAGCAGCCGCGGUAAUACGGAGGAUGCGAGCGUUAUCCGGAUUUAUUAAGUUUAAAGGGAGCGCAGACGGGAGAUUAAGUCAGUUGUGAAAGUUUGCGGCUCAACCGUAAAAUUGCAGUUGAUACUGGUUUCCUUGAGUGCAGUUGAGGCAGGCGGAAUUCGUGGUGUAGCGGUGAAAUGCUUAGAUAUCACGAAGAACUCCGAUUGCGAAGGC
RNAcentral lists this ribosomal RNA (638 nucleotides) under uncultured bacterium. RNAcentral describes it as "bacterial SSU rRNA". It matches the Rfam family "Bacterial small subunit ribosomal RNA", at positions 86 to 722 of the family's 1533-position model. The record is from RNAcentral.